AGAAACUUAGGAUAACAAUUAAACCGAAGGCCUUCAAAGCCUUAAAUAAGAGAUAAAACCUCUUAGUUUCUG
Molecule: transfer RNA, 72 nt
Filed under: Eolophus roseicapilla (galah)
Lineage: Eukaryota; Metazoa; Chordata; Aves; Psittaciformes; Cacatuidae
Also listed under: 3 other names
Description: Eolophus roseicapillus (Galah) tRNA
Rfam family: tRNA
About the family: Transfer RNA (tRNA) molecules are approximately 80 nucleotides in length.
Source: Rfam by way of RNAcentral